UACGGAGGUUGCGAGCGUUGUUCGGAAUUACUGGGCGUAAAGGGAGCGCAGGCGGCCUGGUUAGUCCGAAGUGAAAGCCCGGGGCUCAACUCCGGAAGUGCUUUGGAUACUGCCAGGCUUGAGUACGUGAGAGGAGAGCGGAAUUCCAGGUGUAGCGGUGAAAUGCGUAGAUAUCUGGAGGAACACCAGUGGCGAAAGCGGCUCUCUGGCACGAUACUGACGCUCAGGCUCGAAAGCAUGGGUAGCGAACGGGAUUAGAUGCCCCGGUAGUCCAUGCCGUAAACGUUGUGCACUAGGUGUAGGAGGUAUCGACCCCUUCUGUGCCGAAGCUAACGCAUUAAGUGCACCGCCUGGGGAGUACGGUCGCAAGACUUAA
Molecule: ribosomal RNA, 376 nt
Filed under: uncultured bacterium
Lineage: Bacteria
Description: bacterial SSU rRNA
Rfam family: Bacterial small subunit ribosomal RNA
Source: RNAcentral